This 235-nucleotide ribosomal RNA is filed under the name uncultured Pseudomonas sp. RNAcentral's name for it is "partial 16S ribosomal RNA". It matches the Rfam family "Bacterial small subunit ribosomal RNA", at positions 1149 to 1382 of the family's 1533-position model. Lineage: Bacteria; Pseudomonadati; Pseudomonadota; Gammaproteobacteria; Pseudomonadales; Pseudomonadaceae. The record is from RNAcentral.
CUGCCGGUGACAAACCGGAGGAAGGUGGGGAUGACGUCAAGUCAUCAUGGCCCUUACGGCCUGGGCUACACACGUGCUACCAAUGGUCGGUACAAAGGGUUGCCAAGCCGCGAGGUGGAGCUAAUCCCAUAAAACCGAUCGUAGUCCGGAUCGCAGUCUGCAACUCGACUGCGUGAAGUCGGAAUCGCUAGUAAUCGUGAAUCAGAAUGUCACGGUGAAUACGUUCCCGGGCCUU